This 893-nucleotide ribosomal RNA is filed under the name uncultured Herpotrichiellaceae. Its description in RNAcentral is "eukaryotic LSU rRNA". The stretch from base 276 to 893 matches the Rfam family "Eukaryotic large subunit ribosomal RNA", at positions 1 to 636 of the family's 3401-position model. Lineage: Eukaryota; Fungi; Ascomycota; Eurotiomycetes; Chaetothyriales; Herpotrichiellaceae. The record is from RNAcentral.
GAAAUGCGAUAGUAAUGCGAAUUGCAGAAUUUCCGUGAGUCAUCGAAUCUUUGAACGCACAUUGCGCCCACUGGCAUUCCGGUGGGCAUGCCUGUUCGAGCGUCAUUAUCCUCCCUCAAACCUCGGGUUUGGUGUUGGACCCAAGUUGUGGUGAACAACUGGUCUCAAAGACAAUGACGGCGUCCGUGGGACCCUCGGUGCAACGAGCUUUUAACGAGCACGCGUCGAGUUUCAAGGACCUUCCGGGCCGGUCUCCUUCUUUUAUUUACAAAGGUUGACCUCGGAUCAGGUAGGAAUACCCGCUGAACUUAAGCAUAUCAAUAAGCGGAGGAAAAGAAACCAACAGGGAUUGCCUCAGUAACGGCGAGUGAAGCGGCAACAGCUCAAAUUUGAAAUCUGGCCUUACGGUCCGAGUUGUAAUUUGUAGAGGAUGUUUUGGGUACCGCCGCGGUUUAAAUUUCUUGGAACAGAAUGUCAAAGAGGGUGAGAGUCCCGUCUUGGAUCGCGGUAGGGCCUGUGUAAAACUCCUUCGACGAGUCGACUUGUUUGGGAAUGCAGGUCAAAAUGGGUGGUAAAUUUCAUCUAAAGCUAAAUAUUGGCCAGAGACCGAUAGCGCACAAGUAGAGUGAUCGAAAGAUGAAAAGCACUUUGAAAAGAGAGUUAAACAGUAUGUGAAAUUGUUGAAAGGGAAGCGCUGGCAACCAGACUCGUGCGCGGGGUUCCCCCUUGCUUCUGCUUGGGUCACUUCCCCGUGCCCGGGCCAUCAUCAGUUUCGGGGGCCGGUUAAAGGCUCUGGGAAUGUAUCUACUCCUUCGGGGGUAGACUUAUAGCCCAGGGUGUCAUGCGGCCACUCGGGACUGAGGACGCGCUUCGGCGAGGAUGAUGGCGUAAUG